RNAcentral lists this ribosomal RNA (253 nucleotides) under uncultured bacterium. RNAcentral's name for it is "partial 16S ribosomal RNA". It matches the Rfam family "Bacterial small subunit ribosomal RNA", at positions 524 to 776 of the family's 1533-position model. The record is from RNAcentral.
UACGUAGGUGGCGAGCGUUGUCCGGAAUUACUGGGUGUAAAGCGCGCGUAGGCGGCUUGUCGCGUCGUCUGUGAAAUCCCACGGCUCAACUGUGGGCUUGCAGUCGAUACGGGCAGGCUGGAGUUCGGUAGGGGAGACUGGAAUUCCUGGUGUAGCGGUGAAAUGCGCAGAUAUCAGGAGGAACACCGGUGGCGAAGGCGGGUCUCUGGGCCGAUACUGACGCUGAGGAGCGAAAGCGUGGGGAGCGAACAGG